RNAcentral lists this long non-coding RNA (740 nucleotides) under Pongo abelii (Sumatran orangutan). Its description in RNAcentral is "lincRNA". The record is from RNAcentral. Lineage: Eukaryota; Metazoa; Chordata; Mammalia; Primates; Hominidae.
UUUUGUACAAGCAGAUCUCCUAUGCUGUCAUCAGCUCUCAGCUCAUCUGUUACUUCCUCCUGACCCAAGCAUCCCCUGAUGUCCAUGAGGACUCACCUCCCUGACACUGUUACAGGGCAGCAGGGACAGUACCGUGACUGUCUUACUAACCCUACGACUGUAGUAAAUGUGCCCCUGUUUGGAUAUCUGCAGUCCCAGUAACUGUGACUUCCAUCUUCUCCCCACCGUGAUUCUGCAGUGUCAAUCCUUGGGAACCAUAAUAAACGGCAUCUAUUUAAAAAUAACUAGAUCACCAGUUUGGAUUCCUUCACAAGUUGCCGGCUCCCGUUAGGCAGAGCAGGCACGCAGGGAGUCAGGGGUCUUUCUAGGAUCCAUCUUCCCCAGGUACUACUCCCGGCUUACCUGGAGCAGAUGAUUCAGGAGGGUCUUGGACACGGACCUCCGAGAGCGUCGGCCGAGGACACUCUUGCACCAGACUGAGGUCAGCGCUGAGACCCAGAUUUAUAUGCACCAGCAGCAAGGUGGCACUUAGGGCCCCGUCCACCGAGGACUUGCGGCCCCGCCCCUGAGGGGCCUGGGCGGGGCCAGGCUGUAAAUGAGCUCCUGAUGGAUUCGGACUCAGGACCUCUGAAAGGCUCAAUGGGGCCUCUCCAAGUGCCACCCAGCUGUGUGCAGGUUUGGAGCACAGAAGUUUCACCCUGUCUCCCUGAUGCAAUUUCUAGCACUGCAGGACGAGGAAU